Molecule: long non-coding RNA, 888 nt
Organism: Daktulosphaira vitifoliae (grape phylloxera)
Lineage: Eukaryota; Metazoa; Arthropoda; Insecta; Hemiptera; Phylloxeridae
Exons: 2
Source: RefSeq, a predicted model, not a curated record
ACAUGUUCAUACAAAAUUAGUCGAAUACGUCAGUUGGGUAUUUUGGUGUGAUAAACAUAAGUUAUUUUUCGCAAUAUACCCUUUUUAUAUAUAACCUAGGAACUCCGUAAAAAAAUAUCUUGUGAAUCAAUAUCAAAUAUCUACACUUCGUCAUCAAUAGAAUAUAAUAUCAUGAAGCAUAAGAUUUUUAUUUUGGUAAUUUAUGUAGCAGUUUCUUUGGGAAAAUCUAUUGACACUGCAAUGAGGCUACAAAAGAUUUUUAAUAGUAAAAUUUUUCUUUUUGAUGAAAAUGAUAAUUCAAUUUCACAUCCAUAUUCUGAAUUCAUUGUAACUAGCUAUUAUAACUUUACUGAUCACUCCACUUAUCAAAAAAAUACAAAAGAUUAUGACUGUUGCCAUGAUAACAGUGUUACUUUUAGUAAUACAGUAAAAACCGAAAAACAAGGCAAAUUUGUAAAAGAUAUAAAUUAUAUUUAUCCAAAUAUAUCAUAUUCGAAUUUCAUGCAAACUAUUAAGAAUGGCGUAGAUACACUUUACGAUGAAGACAUUUACAUGCCUGAAUUUAAAAAAUAUCAUUUUAGAUUAAGAAAUAAACUAACAAUUCCAAAAACGUUUUAUGACAAAGAUAUUAGUUAUACUUCGCAUAAAAUUUGUGGAUAUUAUUGUUAUACCAAGUAUGUGUCUGGUAAACGGUUUCAACUUAUUUGUGAUUAUUUACAGUACAGAAUUGAAGAUACGUCAGAUGGUUCAACAUUAAAUGUAAUUGAAUGAAAACACUUUAAUUAAUUAUUUUAUAUUUUGUAAAAUGUAUUAUAUGAUUCAUAAAUAUUGUAAUGUAUAAUGUUUUAAUGAUAUAAUUUGUUUUAAAUAAAUCAUCAGGACACUCCA